ACAACGCCUCGUGACUGAACAAGGAUUUACGAUCGUUCACCUCUGUUGAUUAGGACGAAUGUGUCUUAUGCCAGUAGUAUGAUGUAAUGACUGUACUAUCUCGAGAAAGCCACGGCUAACUACGUGCCCUGAGCCGCGGCAAUACGUAGGUGGCAAGCGUUGUCCGGACUCAUUGGCUGUAGAGGGAGCGCAGGGGGGGAAAAUAGAGUCUGUUUUAUAAGUGCGGGGGUUCAACCCCGUGAUAGAAUGUAGACUGAUUUUCUUGACUGCAUCACACGAAAGUGUAAUUCCUAGCGUAUCGGGGAAGUGCUAAUAUAUUAUCAGGAACACCAUUGUCGAAAGCCACUCUCUGGACUGUAACUGACACUGAGGCUAGAAAGACAGGGUAGCGAGCGGGAUUAGAUACCCCGGUAGUCCUGUCCGUAUACGAUGGGUACUAGGUGUAGGAGGUAUCGACCCAUUCUGUGCCGGAGUUAACGCAAUAAGUACCCCGCCUGGGGAGUACGGCCGCAAGGUUGAGACUCAAAUGAAUUGACGGGGGCCCGCACAAGCGGUGGAGUAUGUGGUGUAAUUGGACGCAACGCGAAGAACCUUAACAGGGCUUGACAUUGACUGAAAGAUGUAGAGAUACGUACGUUUUGUUCGGAAGACAAGAAAACAGGUGGUGCAUGGCUGUAGUCAGCUCGUGUCGCGAGAUGUUGGGAUAAGUCGCGCAACGAGCGCAACCCGUAUCAUUUGUUGCCAGCACGUAAAGGUGGGAACUCAAAUGAGACUGCCGCGGAUAACGCGGAGGAAGGCGGGGAUGAGGUCAAGUCAUCAUGCUCCUUAUGUCAUGUGGUACACACGUAAUACAAUGGGAGGGACAGAGGGAAGCGAAAUCGCGAGAUGGAGCACAACCCCAGAACCAAUCUCUCAGUUAGGAUUGUAGGAUGCAACUAGCCUACACGCAAGUCGGAAUUGCUAGUAAUCGCAGGUCAGCAUACAGCGGUGAAUACGUUCCCGGGCCGUUGUACACACCUGCCCGUCACACCACGAAAGUCAGUCACACCCAAAGCCGGUGGGGUAACUCUAACGAGAGCUAG
This 1082-nucleotide ribosomal RNA is filed under the name uncultured organism. RNAcentral describes it as "SSU rRNA". It matches the Rfam family "Bacterial small subunit ribosomal RNA", at positions 391 to 1452 of the family's 1533-position model. The record is from RNAcentral.